Molecule: ribosomal RNA, 253 nt
Filed under: uncultured bacterium
Lineage: Bacteria
Description: partial 16S ribosomal RNA
Rfam family: Bacterial small subunit ribosomal RNA
Source: RNAcentral
UACGAAGGGGGCUAGCGUUGCUCGGAAUCACUGGGCGUAAAGCGUCUGUAGGUGGUUAAGCAAGUCAACUGUUAAAUCUUGAGGCUCAACUUCAAAAUCGCAGUCGAAACUGUUUGACUAGAGUAUAGUAGGGGUAAAGGGAAUUUCCAGUGGAGCGGUGAAAUGCGUAGAUAUUGGAAAGACCACCAAUGGCGAAGGCACUCUACUGGGCCAUUACUGACACUGAGAGACGAAAGCUAGGGGAGCAAAUGGG